UACGAGGGGGGCGGGCGUUGUUCGGAAUUAUUGGGCGUCAAGGGCGCGUAGGCGGUGCGGUAAGUCACCUGUGAAACCUCUGGGCUCAACUCAGAGCCUGCAGGCGAAACUGCCGUGCUGGAGUGUGGGAGAGGUGCGUGGAAUUCCGAGUGUAGAGGUGAAAUUCGUAGAUAUUCGGAAAAACACCAGUGGCGAAGGCGACUUACUGGACACAUAUUGACGCUGAGGUGCGAAAGCGUGGGGAGCAAACAGG
This 253-nucleotide ribosomal RNA is filed under the name uncultured bacterium. Its description in RNAcentral is "partial 16S ribosomal RNA". It matches the Rfam family "Bacterial small subunit ribosomal RNA", at positions 524 to 776 of the family's 1533-position model. The record is from RNAcentral.